RNAcentral lists this ribosomal RNA (464 nucleotides) under Vreelandella stevensii. RNAcentral's name for it is "partial 16S ribosomal RNA". It matches the Rfam family "Bacterial small subunit ribosomal RNA", at positions 338 to 795 of the family's 1533-position model. The record is from RNAcentral. Lineage: Bacteria; Pseudomonadati; Pseudomonadota; Gammaproteobacteria; Oceanospirillales; Halomonadaceae.
CCUACGGGGCGCAGCAGUGGGGAAUAUUGGACAAUGGGCGAAAGCCUGAUCCAGCCAUGCCGCGUGUGUGAAGAAGGCCUUCGGGUUGUAAAGCACUUUCAGUGGGGAAGAAAGCCUUGGGGCUAAUACCCUCGAGGAAGGACAUCACCCACAGAAGAAGCACCGGCUAACUCCGUGCCAGCAGCCGUGGUAAUACGGAGGGUGCGAGCGUUAAUCGGAAUUACUGGGCGUAAAGCGCGCGUAGGCGGUCUGAUAAGCCGGUUGUGAAAGCCCCGGGCUCAACCUGGGAACGGCAUCCGGAACUGUCAGGCUAGAGUGCAGGAGAGGAAGGUAGAAUUCCCGGUGUAGCGGUGAAAUGCGUAGAGAUCGGGAGGAAUACCAGUGGCGAAGGCGGCCUUCUGGACUGACACUGACGCUGAGGUGCGAAAGCGUGGGUAGCAAACAGGAUUAGAUACCGAGUAGUC